RNAcentral lists this ribosomal RNA (413 nucleotides) under uncultured bacterium. RNAcentral's name for it is "bacterial SSU rRNA". It matches the Rfam family "Bacterial small subunit ribosomal RNA", at positions 28 to 436 of the family's 1533-position model. The record is from RNAcentral.
GACGAACGCUGGCGGCGCGCCUAACACAUGCAAGUCGAACGAGAGAGAGGAAGCUUGCUUCCUCAAUCGAGUGGCGAACGGGUGAGUAACGCGUGAGGAACCUGCCUCAAAGAGGGGGACAACAGUUGGAAACGACUGCUAAUACCGCAUAAGCCCACAGGUCGGCAUCGACCAGAGGGAAAAGGAGCAAUCCGCUUUGAGAUGGCCUCGCGUCCGAUUAGCUAGUUGGUGAGGUAAUGGCCCACCAAGGCAACGAUCGGUAGCCGGACUGAGAGGUUGAACGGCCACAUUGGGACUGAGACACGGCCCAGACUCCUACGGGAGGCAGCAGUGGGGAAUAUUGCACAAUGGGGGAAACCCUGAUGCAGCGACGCCGCGUGGAGGAAGAAGGUCUUCGGAUUGUAAACUCCUGU